UCCAGACUCCUACGGGAGGCAGCAGUGGGGAAUAUUGCACAAUGGGGGGAAACCCUGAUGCAGCAACGCCGCGUGAGUGAGGAAGUAUUUCGGUAUGUAAAGCUCUAUCAGCAGGGAAGAAGAAAGACGGUACCUGACUAAGAAGCCCCGGCUAACUACGUGCCAGCAGCCGCGGUAAUACGUAGGGGGCAAGCGUUAUCCGGAUUUACUGGGUGUAAAGGGAGCGUAGACGGCAUGGCAAGCCAGAUGUGAAAUACCGGGGCUCAACCCCGGGACUGCAUUUGGAACUGUUAAGCUGGAGUGUCGGAGAGGCAGGCGGAAUUCCUAGUGUAGCGGUGAAAUGCGUAGAUAUUAGGAGGAACACCAGUGGCGAAGGCGGCCUGCUGGACGAUAACUGACGUUGAGGCUCGAAAGCGUGGGGAGCAAACAGGAUUAGAUACCCUAGUAG
RNAcentral lists this ribosomal RNA (448 nucleotides) under uncultured bacterium. RNAcentral describes it as "partial 16S ribosomal RNA". It matches the Rfam family "Bacterial small subunit ribosomal RNA", at positions 330 to 793 of the family's 1533-position model. The record is from RNAcentral.